This 1992-nucleotide long non-coding RNA is filed under the name Salmo salar (Atlantic salmon). RNAcentral describes it as "lncRNA (ENSSSAG00000114679.1)". The record is from RNAcentral. Lineage: Eukaryota; Metazoa; Chordata; Actinopteri; Salmoniformes; Salmonidae.
UUCAGGUUGUUAAAACAGAAAAAAACUUGACAAUUAAGUUUAGGCAUCAAUUCUGACUGGUUAAGGUAAGGGUUAAGUUUUGGGAUAAGGUUGAAACAGAAAACAAUUAAAACAAGUCCCUAGCAUUGGGAUUGAACCCACAAACCUCUCAGCCAAAGCCUGCGGUUUAAGCUUUUCCUCUAUCUCAAUCCACAACACCCUAGCAAGCUGUGCGUCUACUAGAUGGUAUUACGUGUUCAUGUUGCCCCUAGUGGACAGUAUUGAAGACAUCUGACGUCCUGGGGACCUGGACAAACGUUGAAUACUGAAGUGUAUCUGGUGUGACCUAGCUGUUUAUACGGCAGUCACACACACACACACGCACGACACACACACACACACACAUCUGUUUAGACCAAUCUACUCUCCAGACAGAGGUGUCAACAGACAAUUCAACAGUCAACAUACCUGAUGAAUAAUGGGGAAUAUGAGAAUAUGUGCCUCUUUGUGAACUUUAAGCUGUUACAGUCAUUAUGUUUGGACCAGAAAGAUUGUAAUUGCCUGGAAAAUUAGUAGAGAAAAGGAGAAAGUCCACACUUUGAAUUAGAGUAGAAGAAAAAAAAUUAUUCAGACAAACAUGUCCUAUUUGCUAAUGAGUCGUAUGGAAUGUAGAUGAUAUAGCAGGAUAAUUAUACAAUGCUUUAUAAUGAUAAUGCCCCCUCAGGUAGGAACGGUGUAGGUAAGGGUCAGGUCCCCCUCAGGUAGAAACUGAGCAGGUCAGGAGGUUGGUGGCAUCUUAAUUGGGAAGGACGAGCUUGUGUUAAUGGCUGUUGUGGAAUGGAUUCAAAAACAUCAAAUAGCAUUCCAUUCAUAUGUGCCAUCCUCCCCUCAGCAGUCUCCACUGUCGUGCAGGUCAGGGUUCCCCUCAGGUAGAAACUGUGCAGGUCAGAGUGAGGGCCUCCCAGGUAGGAACUGUGCAGGUCAGAGUGAGGGCCCCUCUCAGGUAGGAACUGUGCAGGUCAGAGUGAGGGCCCUCCUCAGGUAGGAACUGUGCAGGUCAGAGUGAGGGCCUCCCAGGUAGGAACUGUGCAGGUCAGAGUGAGGGCCCCCCUCAGGUAGGAACUGUGCAGGUCAGAGUGAGGGCCCCUCUCAGGUAGGAACUAUGCAGGUCAGAGUGAGGGCCCCUCUCAGGUAGGAACUGUGCAGGUCAGGGCCCAUUUCAUUACAAUUCCAUCAAUUUGGAAUGAAUUAAAAUGCCAAUCGAUUAAUUAAAUGAAUGCUAUUUUGUCUUCCAUUUUUUUAUUAAAUAAAAUAUCCCACAUAGCAAUAGGAGCUCAAUCCUAUUUGAAAUGUCAAGUCUCAAUAUCAUCAGAUGUUUAGAGUGAGUUUAGAAGUUACAUUUACUCAAAUGAAUCCCCCGACCUCAACCAAAUUGAGAUAGUUUGGGAUAAGUCGGACCGCAGAGUGAAGGAAAAGCAGUGCUCAGCAUAUGUGGAAACUCCUUCAAGACUGUUGGAAAGCAUUCCAGGUGAAGCUGGUUGAGAGAAUGCCAAGUGUGUGCAAAGCUGUCAAGGCAAAGGGUGGCUAUUUGAAGAACCUCAAAUGUAAAAUAUAUUUUGAUUUGUUUGUUUAACACUUUUUUUGCUUACUACAUAUGUGUUAUUUCAUAGUUUUGAUGUCUUCCCUAAUAUUCUACAAUGUAGAAAAUAGUUUUAAAAAAAUAAAGAAAAAACUUGAAUGAGUAGGUGGGUCCAAACUUUUGACUGGUACUGUAUAUAUUUUUACAAUACAAAACAUCCACAUACGAACAACAACUUACAGACAAACACAAACAUCCACAACAUCACUCCUGCUCAGACCCACCUGCUCACACCAUCUCCAGAGCCCACAGUACUCUCCGCCAAAUGCCCUCAAACUGCACCAUUUUGUGGGAGAACCUAGACAUUCAUCAGCCUUACAUCAUGGGGGAUGAAGUAGAGAACCUAGACAUUCAUCAGCCUUACAUCAUGGGGG